Molecule: ribosomal RNA, 236 nt
Filed under: uncultured bacterium
Lineage: Bacteria
Description: partial 16S ribosomal RNA
Rfam family: Bacterial small subunit ribosomal RNA
Source: RNAcentral
CGGGACGGGUGAGUAACGCGUGGAUAACCUGCCUCACACUGGGGGAUAACAGUUAGAAAUGACUGCUAAUACCGCAUAAGCGCACGGUACCGCAUGGUACAGUGUGAAAAACUCCGGUGGUGUGAGAUGGAUCCGCGUCUGAUUAGCCAGUUGGCGGGGUAACGGCCCACCAAAGCGACGAUCAGUAGCCGACCUGAGAGGGUGACCGGCCACAUUGGGACUGAGACACGGCCCAA